Molecule: ribosomal RNA, 449 nt
Filed under: uncultured bacterium
Lineage: Bacteria
Description: partial 16S ribosomal RNA
Rfam family: Bacterial small subunit ribosomal RNA
Source: RNAcentral
AACGAACGCUGGCGGCAUGCCUAACACAUGCAAGUCGAACGAGAUCUUCGGGUCUAGUGGCGCACGGGUGCGUAACGCGUGGGAAUCUGCCCUUUGGUUCGGAAUAACAGUUGGAAACGACUGCUAAUACCGGAUGAUGACGAAAGUCCAAAGAUUUAUCGCCAGAGGAUGAGCCCGCGUAGGAUUAGCUAGUUGGUGUGGUAAAGGCGCACCAAGGCGACGAUCCUUAGCUGGUCUGAGAGGAUGAUCAGCCACACUGGGACUGAGACACGGCCCAGACUCCCACGGGAGGCAGCAGUGGGGAAUAUUGGACAAUGGGCGAAAGCCUGAUCCAGCAAUGCCGCGUGAGUGAUGAAGGCCUUAGGGUUGUGAAGCUCUUUUACCCGGGAUGAUAAUGACAGUACCGGGAGAAUAAGCUCCGGCUAACUCCGUGCCAGCCGCCGCAGUAA